This 427-nucleotide long non-coding RNA is filed under the name Erythranthe guttata (spotted monkey flower). RNAcentral's name for it is "long non-coding RNA (EGUT_LNC000544)". Lineage: Eukaryota; Viridiplantae; Streptophyta; Magnoliopsida; Lamiales; Phrymaceae. The record is from RNAcentral.
UAAAAAAUUUCGACCGAACUCCAAGGGGUAAUUUUCAAGAAUCUCCACCUAUUCUACCUUACACAUUGGCUAAAAGAAAGAACACCUUUUCUCCGAGGCUCAAAUCAAGGUUCUAAGGAUAAUUUCGAUAAAAAGGUCGGCUUGAAAGGCUCAAACGGUUCAAAGAAGGCCCAAAUCAUAUCCCAAAUCACUCACUACUCAAUACUUCGUAUCAUAAAUUUCCUAAGGUGAGUCUUAAAACCGAACAUAGCAUGAUCUAGCACAAAUUAAUUCUAAAUUUAAAAUACAAAACAUUCAACCAAAGCAAUGCACAAAAUGUGAUUCCUAGCAAUAAUUCGCUUCUAAGUCCCGUUGAAUCGAAAGCUAAACAAACAUCAAAUCCUUAUCACACAAAACAAGCGAUCUCAUCAUCAAACAUUGAUCAUCU